GAUGAACGCUAGCUACAGGCUUAACACAUGCAAGUCGAGGGACCGGCGCACGGGUGAGUAACACGUAUCCAACCUGCCCUUUACUCGAUGAUAGCCUUUCGAAAGAAAGAUUAAUACCCGAUAUGAAGGAUGGGGAUGCGUUCCAUGAGGUUGUUGGUCAGGUAACGGCUAACCAAGCCUUCGAUGGAUAGGGGUUCUGAGAGGAAGGUCCCCCACAUUGGAACUGAGACACAGUCCAAACUGCUACUGGAGGGAGCAGUGUGGAAUAUUGGGCAAGGGGCGGUAGUCUGAACCUGCCAAGUAGCGUGAAGGAUUAAGGCUUAUGGGUGGUAAACUUAUUUGAUAUAAGAAUAGGUAUUAUAUGAAUAAGGAUCGGCUAACUCCGUGCCAGCCGCAGCGGUAAUAC
RNAcentral lists this ribosomal RNA (406 nucleotides) under uncultured bacterium. RNAcentral's name for it is "partial 16S ribosomal RNA". It matches the Rfam family "Bacterial small subunit ribosomal RNA", at positions 28 to 526 of the family's 1533-position model. The record is from RNAcentral.